Molecule: ribosomal RNA, 804 nt
Filed under: Salmonella enterica
Lineage: Bacteria; Pseudomonadati; Pseudomonadota; Gammaproteobacteria; Enterobacterales; Enterobacteriaceae
Also listed under: 1 other name
Description: partial 23S ribosomal RNA
Rfam family: Bacterial large subunit ribosomal RNA
Source: RNAcentral
GCGUAAUGAUGGCCAGGCUGUCUCCACCCGAGACUCAGUGAAAUUGAACUCGCUGUGAAGAUGCAGUGUACCCGCGGCAAGACGGAAAGACCCCGUGAACCUUUACUAUAGCUUGACACUGAACAUUGAGCCUUGAUGUGUAGGAUAGGUGGGAGGCUUUGAAGUGUGGACGCCAGUCUGCAUGGAGCCGACCUUGAAAUACCACCCUUUAAUGUUUGAUGUUCUAACGUGGACCCGUAAUCCGGGUUGCGGACAGUGUCUGGUGGGUAGUUUGACUGGGGCGGUCUCCUCCUAAAGAGUAACGGAGGAGCACGAAGGUUGGCUAAUCCUGGUCGGACAUCAGGAGGUUAGUGCAAUGGCAUAAGCCAGCUUGACUGCGAGCGUGACGGCGCGAGCAGGUGCGAAAGCAGGUCAUAGUGAUCCGGUGGUUCUGAAUGGAAGGGCCAUCGCUCAACGGAUAAAAGGUACUCCGGGGAUAACAGGCUGAUACCGCCCAAGAGUUCAUAUCGACGGCGGUGUUUGGCACCUCGAUGUCGGCUCAUCACAUCCUGGGGCUGAAGUAGGUCCCAAGGGUAUGGCUGUUCGCCAUUUAAAGUGGUACGCGAGCUGGGUUUAGAACGUCGUGAGACAGUUCGGUCCCUAUCUGCCGUGGGCGCUGGAGAACUGAGGGGGGCUGCUCCUAGUACGAGAGGACCGGAGUGGACGCAUCACUGGUGUUCGGGUUGUCAUGCCAAUGGCACUGCCCGGUAGCUAAAUGCGGAAGAGAUAAGUGCUGAAAGCAUCUAAGCACGAAACUUGCCCCGA